RNAcentral lists this small RNA (621 nucleotides) under Pseudomonas phage PAK_P4. Its description in RNAcentral is "putative antisense RNA". Lineage: Duplodnaviria; Heunggongvirae; Uroviricota; Caudoviricetes; Vandenendeviridae. The record is from RNAcentral.
UGAGGUAGCUAAGAGCGCCUUGAACAGUUCCAAACACGUCGAAGCCGACUUGCUGGUUUCCGCCUACCGUGCCAUCGGUCCAGUCCAGAACAUCAAUAGUCCAGACCCUGUUCUCGAUUCCAUCGGUGAAUGUUAUGCUAGGGUAGCCAUUGACAUAAGCGUUGUCUGUGCUCAUCAUGGUGCUACCGUGGGUAUCCUUGACAGACAAGGUGAUUCGGGCGGAUUGUGUUCUUCGGUCUUGCUCUACUAGCGAGAAGAAUGCAUCAUUAGACACCGAAGUCUGAAGAACCUCGAUUCUAAUCUGCGCAGAAAGGUCUCUAUUGAAGACCCGGGUGUGGUGCCCUCUGAUUCCUCGAACCAUUGUGUAGGGUCUCGAAAGCCAAGACAUUUCGAAAGAAACUACACCAGUGAGAGCAUACCCACAAAGGACAAUUUUAACAUCAGAUGGGCUAUAUGUCAAUACCGUGUUAGCCAUUAGAAGCCUCCGAAUUGCGUAAGGGCUGGCAGAAGAGAGCUUCCCAGCAGGAUAGCUUGCUCGACCAAACUUUGAUCGACGUUUCCGCCAAUGUUCAUGGCGACCUCAGAGCACCCUAGAAUCCAAGUGCGGGUCUCCAGUUGUCC